GGGGCUGACUUGGAUUUCGACAGAUUUCUUGUCGCACAGAUAGCAUGCCAAGCGCUGCUUGUAAAACAGCAAUAAAAAUAACUGUAAACAACACAGAUUACGCUCCAGCUUACGCUAAAGCUGCGUGAGUUAAUCUCCUUUUGGAGCUGGACUGAUUAGAAUUUCUAGCGUUUUAAUCACUCCAUAACCUUAAGCUAGACGCUUUUAAAAGGUGGUUCGCCUUUUAAACUAAGACACAAGAACUCUUGAAACUACCUCAAGGUUUUAGAAAGUUGGACCAGAGCUAGUUUUAAGGCUAAAAAGCUAACCAAUUUUCUAAGCAUUGUAGAAGUUUGUGUUUAGGACAAGAUUUUUGGACUGGGGUUCGAUUCCCCACAGCUCCACCA
Molecule: transfer-messenger RNA, 386 nt
Filed under: Helicobacter pylori
Lineage: Bacteria; Pseudomonadati; Campylobacterota; Epsilonproteobacteria; Campylobacterales; Helicobacteraceae
Also listed under: 1 other name
Rfam family: transfer-messenger RNA
About the family: Bacterial tmRNA, also known as 10Sa RNA or SsrA, is named for its dual tRNA and mRNA-like properties. Its role is to liberate the mRNA from a stalled ribosome.
Source: RNAcentral